UACGAGGGGGGCAAGUGUUGUUCGGAAUCACUGGGCGUAAAGGGAGCGUAGGCGGGCUCUUAAGUUGGAUGUUUAAAACCGGGGCCCAACCCCGGCGUGGCAUCCAAAACUGGGAGUCUUGAAUGGAACAGAGGCUAGUGGAAUUGGAGGUGUAGCGGUGGAAUGCGUAGAGAUCGGGAAGAACACCCGUGGCGAAGGCGGCUUCCUGGACACCAACUGACGCUGAGACGCGAAAGCGUGGGGAGCAAACAGG
RNAcentral lists this ribosomal RNA (253 nucleotides) under uncultured bacterium. RNAcentral's name for it is "partial 16S ribosomal RNA". It matches the Rfam family "Bacterial small subunit ribosomal RNA", at positions 524 to 776 of the family's 1533-position model. The record is from RNAcentral.